Molecule: ribosomal RNA, 468 nt
Filed under: uncultured bacterium
Lineage: Bacteria
Description: partial 16S ribosomal RNA
Rfam family: Bacterial small subunit ribosomal RNA
Source: RNAcentral
GACGAACGCUGGCGGCGUGCUUAACACAUGCAAGUCGAACGGAAAGGCCCUGCUUUUGUGGGGUGCUCGAGUGGCGAACGGGUGAGUAACACGUGAGUAACCUGCCCUUGACUUUGGGAUAACUUCAGGAAACUGGGGCUAAUACCGGAUAGGAGCUCCUGCUGCAUGGUGGGGGUUGGAAAGUGUCGGCGGUUGGGGAUGGACUCGCGGCUUAUCAGCUUGUUGGUGGGGUAGUGGCUUACCAAGGCUUUGACGGGUAGCCGGCCUGAGAGGGUGACCGGCCACAUUGGGACUGAGAUGCGGCCCAGACUCCUACGGGAGGCAGCAGUGGGGAAUAUUGCACAAUGGGCGGAAGCCUGAUGCAGCAACGCCGCGUGCUGGAUGACGGCCGUCGGGUUGUAAACCGCUUUCGCCUGUGACGAAGCGUGAGUGACGGUAAUGGGUAAAGAAGCACCGGCUAACUACGUG